Molecule: ribosomal RNA, 750 nt
Filed under: uncultured bacterium
Lineage: Bacteria
Description: bacterial SSU rRNA
Rfam family: Bacterial small subunit ribosomal RNA
Source: RNAcentral
CGAUUAGGCAGCAGUGGGGAAUAUUGCACAAUGGGCGCAAGCCUGAUGCAGCAACGCCGCGUGAGUGAUGAAGGCCUUCGGGUCGUAAAACUCUGUCCUAUGGGAAGAAUAAAAUGACGGUACCAUAGGAGGAAGCCCCGGCUAACUACGUGCCAGCAGCCGCGGUAAUACGUAGGGGGCAAGCGUUAUCCGGAAUCACUGGGCGUAAAGGGUGCGUAGGUGGCUGAUCAAGCCAGAGGUGAAAGGCAUUGGCUCAACCAAUGUAAGCCUUUGGAACUGAUCGGCUUGAGUGCAGGAGAGGUAAGUGGAAUUCCUAGUGUAGAGGUGAAAUUCGUAGAUAUUAGGAGGAACACCAGUGGCGAAGGCGACUUACUGGACUGUAACUGACACUGAGGCACGAAAGCGUGGGUAGCGAACAGGAUUAGAUACCCUGGUAGUCCGCGCCGUAAACGAUGAAUACUAGGUGUCGGGCGUCAAAACUCGGUGCCGCAGCUAACGCAUUAAGUAUUCCGCCUGGGGAGUACGCACGCAAGUGUGAAACUCAAAGGAAUUGACGGGGACCCGCACAAGCAGCGGAGCAUGUGGUUUAAUUCGAAGCAACGCGAAGAACCUUACCAGGUCUUGACAUCCUCUUGCAAGGGCCCUAGCCGGCCCCCUCCUUCGGGACAAGAGAGACAGGUGGGGCAUGGUUGUCGUCAGCUCGUGUCGGGAGAUGUUGGGUUAAGUCCCGCAACGAGCGCACCCUUGGGU